CUCGAAAGGUUGAAUCUUCUCAGUUAAAAACGGUUAAGCAGAUUCAAACCGAGAUAGAGAUACGAGUGGACGUAAGCGCGCAAUAUGCUACUUAAGGUGGAAAAGCGGGCGACAGUAGUACCAGUACCAUUUUAUUUUAAUAUAGAGGGAGGCCAAAAGCAAGCACAAAUUUGGAAGAGACUAGAAUGCAGCAAAUUAAGAAGAGGAGGAGGACAGGCUAUUAUGCAGGAAAUUAAGAAGAGGAAGAAGAGUCCGCCACUUCAGCUUAAAUUUAUUACCACAGACCACACACAGAAGGACUUACAUCACCUUUCAAAAUAAUACGGACUAACUAUCGAAUGCAACGAGUUAGGGCAGUCAACCCAAAUGUAGUCCAGCAUAGCCUUCAAAGUGAUGAACUAACUGACAGUGCGUAAAACAAUUUGACCUACAUCAGUCACAAAAUAAAUAAACAAAUAAUAAAAAAGCUUUCCCAUUA
Molecule: long non-coding RNA, 478 nt
Organism: Drosophila mojavensis
Lineage: Eukaryota; Metazoa; Arthropoda; Insecta; Diptera; Drosophilidae
Exons: 2
Source: RefSeq, a predicted model, not a curated record